This 301-nucleotide ribosomal RNA is filed under the name uncultured bacterium. Its description in RNAcentral is "partial 16S ribosomal RNA". It matches the Rfam family "Bacterial small subunit ribosomal RNA", at positions 509 to 807 of the family's 1533-position model. The record is from RNAcentral.
CAGCCGCCGCGGGAAUACGAAGGGGGCUAGCGUUGCUCGGAAUUACUGGGCGUAAAGGGCGCGUAGGCGGACAGUUCAGUCGGGGGUGAAAGCCCGGGGCUCAACCUCGGAAUUGCCUUCGAUACUGGCUGUCUUGAGUAUGAGAGAGGUGUGUGGAACUCCGAGUGUAGAGGUGAAAUUCGUAGAUAUUCGGAAGAACACCAGUGGCGAAGGCGGCUUACUGGCUCAUACUGGACGCUGAGGUGCGAAAGCGUGGGGAGCAAACAGGAUUAGAUACCCCAGUAGUCCCUGUCUCUUAUAC